This 1276-nucleotide ribosomal RNA is filed under the name uncultured bacterium. RNAcentral describes it as "bacterial SSU rRNA". It matches the Rfam family "Bacterial small subunit ribosomal RNA", at positions 168 to 1446 of the family's 1533-position model. The record is from RNAcentral.
ACCGGAUAGGACGAAAGUUUAAAGAUGCUCCUGGCAUCACUGAUGGAUGAGCCUGCGGCGCAUUAGCUAGUUGGUGGGGUAAAGGCCUACCAAGGCGACGAUGCGUAGCCGACCUGAGAGGGUGAACGGCCACACUGGGACUGAGACACGGCCCAGACUCCUACGGGAGGCAGCAGUAGGGAAUCUUCGGCAAUGGGCGAAAGCCUGACCGAGCAACGCCGCGUGAAUGAAGAAGGCCUUCGGGUUGUAAAAUUCUGUUAUAAGGGAAGAAAGGUGAUAGGAGGAAAUGACUAUCAAUUGACGGUACCUUAUGAGAAAGCCACGGCUAACUACGUGCCAGCAGCCGCGGUAAUACGUAGGUGGCAAGCGUUAUCCGGAAUUAUUGGGCGUAAAGAGCGCGCAGGUGGUUAAUUAAGUCUGAUGUGAAAGCCCACGGCUUAACCGUGGAGGGUCAUUGGAAACUGGUUGACUUGAGUGCAGAAGAGGGAAGUGGAAUUCCAUGUGUAGCGGUGAAAUGCGUAGAGAUAUGGAGGAACACCAGUGGCGAAGGCGGCUUCCUGGUCUGCAACUGACACUGAGGCGCGAAAGCGUGGGGAGCAAAAGGGAUUAGAUACCCUGGUAGUCCACGCCGUAAACGAUGAGUGCUAAAGGUUGGGGGGCGAAACCUCAGUGGUUGAAUUUAAGCAUUAAGCACUCCCGCUGGGGGAAUACGGUCGCAAGACUGAAACUCAAAGGAAUUGACGAGGACCCGCACAAGCGGUGGAGCAUGUGGUUUAAUUCGAAGCAAACGCGAAGAAACCUUACCAGGUCUUGACAUACCAUUGACGCCUCUAGAGAUAGAGGGUUUCCUUCGGGGACAAUGGAUACAGGUGGUGCAUGGUUGUCGUCAGCUCGUGUCGUGAGAUGUUGGGUUAAGUCCCGCAACGAGCGCAACCCCUGUCGUUAGUUGCCAGCAGUAAGAUGGGGACUCUAACGAGACUGCCAGUGACAAACUGGAGGAAGGUGGGGAUGACGUCAAAUCAUCAUGCCCCUUAUGACCUGGGCUACACACGUGCUACAAUGGUUGGUACAAAGAGAAGCGAAGCGGUGACGUGGAGCAAACCUCAUAAAGCCAAUCUCAGUUCGGAUUGUAGGCUACAACUCGCCUACAUGAAGUUGGAAUCGCUAGUAAUCGCGAAUCAGAAUGUCGCGGUGAAUACGUUCCCGGGUAUUGUACACACCGCCCGUCACACCAUGGGAGUCGGAAAUGCCCGAAGUCAGUGACCUAACCGAAAGG